This 301-nucleotide ribosomal RNA is filed under the name uncultured bacterium. Its description in RNAcentral is "partial 16S ribosomal RNA". It matches the Rfam family "Bacterial small subunit ribosomal RNA", at positions 509 to 807 of the family's 1533-position model. The record is from RNAcentral.
CAGUCGCCGCGGGAAAACAGAGGGUGCAAGCGUUAAUCGGAAUUACUGGGCGUAAAGCGCGCGUAGGUGGUUUGUUAAGUUGGAUGUGAAAGCCCCGGGCUCAACCUGGGAACUGCAUCCAAAACUGGCAAGCUAGAGUACGGUAGAGGGUGGUGGAAUUUCCUGUGUAGCGGUGAAAUGCGUAGAUAUAGGAAGGAACACCAGUGGCGAAGGCGACCACCUGGACUGAUACUGACACUGAGGUGCGAAAGCGUGGGGAGCAAACAGGAUUAGAUACCCGGGUAGUCCCUGUCUCUUAUAC